Molecule: transfer RNA, 73 nt
Filed under: Mimica arnoldii
Lineage: Eukaryota; Rhodophyta; Florideophyceae; Gigartinales; Solieriaceae
Also listed under: 1 other name
Description: tRNA-Ile
Rfam family: tRNA
About the family: Transfer RNA (tRNA) molecules are approximately 80 nucleotides in length. Their secondary structure includes four short double-helical elements and three loops (D, anti-codon, and T loops).
Source: RNAcentral
GAGUCUAUAGCUUAAAUGGUAGAGCGUACGCUUGAUAAGCGUAAUGUUGAUUGUUCGAACCAAUCUAGACUCA